GGGAGAGGAAGUGACUUGUUGCUGUUUUUGGGGAUUCUGAUUGGCUAACGUGGGCUUGAGCUUCUCGUUACACGGCCACCUACAGGUUUGGCGUGCUCUUGACGGCAUUGACAACAUAUAAACACUGGUACAUGUAAAC
Long non-coding RNA from Etheostoma cragini (Arkansas darter), 139 nucleotides. RefSeq lists it as uncharacterized. The record is from RefSeq and is a predicted model, not a curated record. Lineage: Eukaryota; Metazoa; Chordata; Actinopteri; Perciformes; Percidae. The transcript is spliced from 3 exons.